This 582-nucleotide long non-coding RNA is filed under the name Chinchilla lanigera (long-tailed chinchilla). RNAcentral's name for it is "lncRNA (ENSCLAG00000028172.1)". The record is from RNAcentral. Lineage: Eukaryota; Metazoa; Chordata; Mammalia; Rodentia; Chinchillidae.
UCCGCCCAGGCCGAUCCCGGAGCCGGCGCUGCCGCGAGGCACCAAACCAAAGCCCCGACCUCGGGGCGUGCAGAGCUUUUUAUUUACUGCGCCUUUUGCCUUACUCCAGACUCUGCGGUGAGCUGGUUUGUACCCCCAUUUGAAAAAUUAAAAUCCACAGAACUCGAGCUCCCAAGUGCAUUUUGAACAACCGGGGACUACUGAGCCAGGCACCCAAAAGGAGGAGCCCACAUGCGUGCUCUGCAGCGCGCGCGCGCACACACAGCAAGCAGCUCGGAUCGGGGCUCCCUGGUGCUUCAAGAUCAUUACUACGCCAAGAAUUCAGUUUUAGGAGCUCUGGUAGAACAGAGGGCUUGCAUAGCAGGCUGGACGCAACAACAACAACAACAAAAAAGUGAAUUAAGCUCACACCUAAACACUGAAGCACAGCCCUCCCCUCCCGAAGGAACAACGGAUCUCUCAACACAAACAUCCGCCUGGAGGGCAGACCCCGGAGCUCACUCCCUGGCUGUUAGCCUAACCUCUGCAGUCUCCUGCCCCGCCCCGAGAACAAACCACUAAAGCCAAUAAAAGACCUUCGUU